Molecule: ribosomal RNA, 553 nt
Filed under: uncultured bacterium
Lineage: Bacteria
Description: bacterial SSU rRNA
Rfam family: Bacterial small subunit ribosomal RNA
Source: RNAcentral
UAGGGAAUCUUCGGCAAUGGGGGCAACCCUGACCGAGCAACGCCGCGUGAGUGAAGAAGGUUUUCGGAUCGUAAAGCUCUGUUGUAAGAGAAGAACGAGUGUGAGAGUGGAAAGUUCACACUGUGACGGUAACUUACCAGAAAGGGACGGCUAACUACGUGCCAGCAGCCGCGGUAAUACGUAGGUCCCGAGCGUUAUCCGGAUUUAUUGGGCGUAAAGCGAGCGCAGGCGGUUAGAUAAGUCUGAAGUUAAAGGCUGUGGCUUAACCAUAGUACGCUUUGGAAACUGUUUAACUUGAGUGCAGAAGGGGAGAGUGGAAUUCCAUGUGUAGCGGUGAAAUGCGUAGAUAUAUGGAGGAACACCGGUGGCGAAAGCGGGCUCUCUGGUCUGUAACUGACGCUGAGGCUCGAAAGCGUGGGGAGCAAACAGGAUUAGAUACCCUGGUAGUCCACGCCGUAAACGAUGAGUGCUAGGUGUUGGGUCCUUUCCGGGACUCAGUGCCGCAGCUAACGCAUUAAGCACUCCGCCCUGGGGAGUACGACCGCAAGGUUGA